Molecule: ribosomal RNA, 447 nt
Filed under: uncultured bacterium
Lineage: Bacteria
Description: partial 16S ribosomal RNA
Rfam family: Bacterial small subunit ribosomal RNA
Source: RNAcentral
AACGAACGCUGGCGGCAGGCUUAACACAUGCAAGUCGAACGGUCCUUCGGGAUAGUGGCGGACGGGUGAGUAACACGUGGGAACGUACCCUUAGGUUCGGAACAACACAGGGAAGCUUGUGCUAAUACCGGAUAAGCCCUUCGGGGGAAAGAUUUAUCGCCUUUGGAGCGGCCCGCGCCUGAUUAGCUUGUUGGUGAGGUAAUGGCUCACCAAGGCUACGAUCAGUAGCUGGUCUGAGAGGAUGGCCAGCCACACUGGGACUGAGACACGGCCCAGACACCUACGGGGGGCAGCGGUGGGGAAUCUUGCGCAAUGGGCGAUAGCCUGACGCAGCCAUGCCGCGUGGAUGAUGAAGGUCUUAGGAUUGUAAAAUCCUUUCACCGGGGACGAUAAUGACGGUACCCGGAGAAGGAUCCCCGGCUAACUUCGUGCCAGCCGCCGCCGUAA